GGAAGAGCCACAGCCAGGGAAGACUUGCCUCUUGUCUGGUCAUCAGCAGGUUGUGGCCUGUACGGCCUCCAGUCAAGACAGUACCUGGAUGCUGUGUGGCUCUCUUGAAGGCAUCACUUGUAGCCAUCCUGUGCCUUAGAGGCUUAUUCAAGAUAAAGAAACCAAGUUAUAAAAAACAGGUGGCAAAGCUUGAGUGGAAUCAUCAAUCUCCAGGCCGGUGUUUCCUCUCUACCCAGCCCAAGCUUUCUGGGAGAAGCAGGAACUCUAAUGAAGUCUGACUGUUGGCCAUGGGUGCUGGACUCCUUCAGUGUGUCUGGAAACAAGGAGGAAACUUACUGACUGGAACUUCCUGCGUCAAUGCUGAAUCCACACAGACAGCUGAUAGUGUGUUUCAGUAGCAGAAAAAGGAAACACAUGAGGUAGCGGGACUGUAAUUAAGAAUGAGUGGAAAACAGGAAAACAAAUGGUCUCACAGGCAGGCCAAAUAUGGUGGUGCUUGGAUUAGUUCCUUCCUGCUCUUGGCAAAGUAGUUACCAUUCAUGAUGCAGAAGGCUCUCAAGAUGUCCAAUGCUCCUGGAUGCUCUAACAGUGGGUUCUUUGAACAGCUCAACAGACUGUGGACUGUAGUAUGCAAAGUGCUGGGAUAGAGGGGGGGGGGUUGGAGGGCAUAACCAGAAAUGAAUAUAGUAGGCUCCCUGCUUCUAGUCUCAUGGGAAAGACUGAUCUGCCGUAAACAAGUUCUUGGAACAUGAGGCAGAAUGAAGUAAGUGCCAUAACUGAGUGAAAAAGUAAGAGCUAUGUGAGCCAGCAGCUAGAGGAUGCUUUCCAACAGGGAUAAUGGAAGCUUCAGGUGGGGAAGAGAUUUAUUGCAGGCCUCGAAGCACAGUGGAAUUUAGCUGGAAGAAAACAGGGAGAAAAUUCUGGGCUCGAGGCCUACAGAUCUUGGGCUUAUUUCCUGUGUUCUAGUUUAUUAGUGGACCAUGGUAGGGUGAGCAAGUUGUGAUCAGCAGGGAGCCAGGAGAGGGCUAGGCACAGAAAAGAAUAAUGGAGAGGUGAUUUUCAUGGGUUUCUGUUCCGGAACACGGAAAGGCUUGGCUCUAUUCUAUUACUCAAUUUUCCUCAUUGAUUUCUGGAUGGGAAUAGAGUUGGACUGGAGCAAAUUAAGAAAUUAAUUAGAUCUCUGAGUACCUAGCAACCCUCAGCAGAGUUCUAUGAUAAAUGCUGACAAGAGUAAAGACUAAGUUGGGUUUUAAAUUAUACAACAGUCCCUGAAUCUCAUCUUUCUGACUAGCUUAGUUCUGUACCUACGCAAAGAACAGCUUGCUCAGGCAUGCAUAUGGAAAUAUGACAUGGGUAUUCUGCCUGGUUUUACACUCCUCGUGGAGUGGAGAAGUUAAAGGGACAGAAACAUAUGUACCUUUAACAGAGUCAUCUGACACCAAAGAAAAUGGGACAUGAAAAAUAGCCCAGAACUUUGAGUAACCACAUUAGUGACUUUUGAAAGAUGGUGAAGGGGUAUUGAGGAAGAGGCUGCAGAGGUCUUCAUGGCAGCAGGCAUGGUUGGAAGCUUUCCUGUCUCUAUAGGCAACAAUGCACAGGAAGCUGGAAACAGGUUCAAGAACCAUCCAUGUCUUGUAACAGAGUCAGGGGCUGAUAAGGUUAAGGGGGCUUGUGAGCCAGAAAAUGGUAACCAGUUAAAGGGUCAAAAAGGUAGAGGGCAAUAGGGAUCAGGACAGGGGAAACACGGAGCCCCUGGAAUGAGCAGGGAAAAUGCAAGCAAGCAUGGCUUUCUGAUUGCUCUCUUAAGUUGAGAUCUAGUCCUUGGUAGAUCUUAGGCAGUGAUACUUGUGUGCUCAGACCUGGCUGUAACCAGAGGGGGAGUCUAAGAGAGAGAGAUUUGCAGCUUUGAGAAGUAGAGUGGGAGAAUGACCUUCAGGUUUCCCUUCUUCUAACUCUUAUUAGUAACAACGGUGUUUUGCUAUAGUAACUCUUGUGUGCUAUUGUCUAUUUGACAGACAUGGUAGCACAAUAUUGUAAUCCAGCCUGGACUGCCACAAAUAAAUAAACAA
Long non-coding RNA from Onychomys torridus (southern grasshopper mouse), 2069 nucleotides. RefSeq lists it as uncharacterized. The transcript is spliced from 3 exons. The record is from RefSeq and is a predicted model, not a curated record. Lineage: Eukaryota; Metazoa; Chordata; Mammalia; Rodentia; Cricetidae.